Molecule: ribosomal RNA, 253 nt
Filed under: uncultured bacterium
Lineage: Bacteria
Description: partial 16S ribosomal RNA
Rfam family: Bacterial small subunit ribosomal RNA
Source: RNAcentral
UACGUAGGGUGCAAGCGUUGUCCGGAAUUAUUGGGCGUAAAGAGCUUGUAGGCGGUCUGUCGCGUCUGCUGUGAAAAUCCGGGGCUCAACCCCGGACUUGCAGUGGGUACGGGCAGGCUAGAGUGUGGGAGGGGAGACUGGAAUUCCUGGUGUAGCGGUGAAAUGCGCAGAUAUCAGGAGGAACACCGAUGGCGAAGGCAGAUCUCUGGGCCGUAACUGACGCUGAGGAGCGAAAGCGUGGGGAGCGAACAGG